ACACGUUGAAUAAAAUUACAGCAACAAUAAACUUAAUAAGAAAAGUGUAUAAAAACCAAACGUGGCGUUUUUUUUAUAUAAAAUAACAAUUAAUAGUUAAAUUAUUUAAAGGAUUUCUUGGUGUAAAAUUUAUUAAUUUUAGAGCGAGGGGGAAUAUCUCUUAGCAAUUAUGUACAUUUUUCUGAAAUUUGUUCUACCCGCUUUUGUUAUUUCUACACGCCGUAUUUCAAAAUCAAACUGUUUCACUUUUCAACCAACUUUUAAGCGUCAAGCUAAAAAGCAAUAGUUGUUGUUGAAGUUGUAAAUAAUGACAAGAAGUUAAGGCGGGUAGACAAGCUGUUUUGUCGGUGGAAGAAAGGGGAGAAGAAGGUUUGAUAGACACACUCUGAUCGUGAAGUUAUGCUAAGCAUGUUGUUGUUGAACAUGGAACAGACAUGUGUGUAUCUCUGAGUUUUUUUACACGUCCGGAGUAAAAAGCGGCUGUCUAUUACUGGAGGCUAAAGUGUGCAGUUUUUUUUGGCUCAUGUUUUUUAGAAGAGUAUUAAAAAUAUUAUAAACAGAAAAAUCUGCUCAGUUAAAAACAAACAUCUUUACAUAUCUACAUUUAAGAAGAGAUAUGGAGUGGAAGAGCAAGAAAUGCCAAAAUGAAAAAGAGAUUGUUACAAACUUAAAUAAAGAGAUCUUUUAUAAAGCUCUUAAAAAAUACUUUUAAGUGAUGCCAGAUGUAAAUAAAAAUAAUAAAAAAUGUA
Long non-coding RNA from Lucilia sericata (common green bottle fly), 749 nucleotides. RefSeq lists it as uncharacterized. NCBI's taxonomy places the organism in Eukaryota, Metazoa, Arthropoda, Insecta, Diptera, Calliphoridae. The transcript has 3 exons. The record is from RefSeq and is a predicted model, not a curated record.